This 459-nucleotide ribosomal RNA is filed under the name uncultured bacterium. RNAcentral's name for it is "partial 16S ribosomal RNA". It matches the Rfam family "Bacterial small subunit ribosomal RNA", at positions 338 to 795 of the family's 1533-position model. The record is from RNAcentral.
CCUACGGGAGGCAGCAGUGAGGAAUAUUGGUCAAUGGCCGCAGGGCUGAACCAGCCAAGUCGCGUGAGGGAUGACGGUCCUAUGGAUUGUAAACCUCUUUUGUCAGGGAGCAAAGGGCGCCACGUGUGGCGCUUUGCGAGUACCUGAAGAAAAAGCAUCGGCUAACUCCGUCCCAGCAGCCGCGGUAAUACGGGGGAUGCGAGCGUUAUCCGGAUUUAUUGGGUUUAAAGGGUGCGCAGGCGGAAUGUCAAGUCAGUGGUAAAAUUUCGGGGCUCAAGCCCGUCGUGCCGUUGAGACUGGCGUUCUUGAGUGAGCGAGAAGUAUGCGGAAUGCGUGGUGUAGCGGUGAAAUGCAUAGAUAUCACGCAGAACUCCGAUUGCGAAGGCAGCAUACCGGCGCUCAACUGACGCUCAUGCACGAAAGCGUGGGUAUCGAACAGGAUUAGAUACCCCAGUAGUC